Molecule: unclassified non-coding RNA, 2234 nt
Filed under: Hevea brasiliensis (rubber tree)
Lineage: Eukaryota; Viridiplantae; Streptophyta; Magnoliopsida; Malpighiales; Euphorbiaceae
Source: RNAcentral
UGUGCUUGCAACUUGAGGUGGCUGUGGAGAAAUUUCAAAUUCUGUUAGAGGAAUUCCAAUUUCAGUUGAAGGAAGAGUUGCACGCUCAUCAGGCAAAACACCAGGAGAAGAAGUAUGGGUAGGAGAUGAAUUUCUGAACUCCAUUGAAGUACUUAUACAUGGAAUAGGGGGCAAAUUUCCAAACUCAGUUGAAGGAAAAUUUGUGUCAAGAAGACUAGGUGAAUUAUCUUCCCCAAAAAAAUUACUUAUAUCAAAAUCAAAUUCAUCAAUAGUGGGCCUCUCAAUAUUGCCAAAUCCACUUCCUUCAGCCAGACCAUAGCUUUCUUGCAAAAUGCCAGCAUUACCUUGACUCACUUCCCCCAAGUUAGCUCCACUGCUGUCAACGUCGUAAUUUCCCUCAACUCCAUAGCUUGACUCCACCAUGUUAAUGCGAGAACAACUCUCAUUAAACUGUCCUUCUGUCCUACGCCUCUGAUAGGGAAUAUCAUAAGUAAAGUCAACAGUAUCAUUUGGUUGCGCUAGCUCGCUCCUUUCACUUAUUUGAGAGUUUGAAGCCAGUUCCAAUUCCCAUCUUGACACUCUUUCUGGAAGGAAUGUUGAAGGUUCAUCCCAUUGAACCUUUAUGGAUCUCCACUCAGAACCAGCCCAUGACGAUACAUUAUCUUGAGAACCAACAAUAUGGCCAGUGAAUCUUUGUUCAAGAACUUCCUCACCCUCCAACCUCAUUGAAAAACUAGUCCCAAUGGGGAAGUUGAGAUUUUGAGCUUCAAGGUACUUGUUAACAUUUACCAUGAACUCGGACUUGUUUUCUCUAGGCUUGUAGAUGAAAUGAAAGGGAGUUCCAAUCUUGAUAGCCAUAAAAGCACUAGACAAAGUUCCAACACACUUGUCUUUCAAAGAUUUAAUAGAAGGUGUGCCAUUUGUGUCUUGCUUCAUGAGCUUCUUUAAUCCAACCAGAAGGGGUCCUGUUUCUCCCCUUAAGAAGUUUAACACAUCACCUUUGGCUAGCUUUUUUGAGCUAGCAAAUGCCUUCCAGCCCUCUGUUAGCAAGUGUCGCUUAGGUGUGCCCCUAAAAACAUGUUUGAAGCGCCAAUUAUUUCCUUGCAGAUCAGUUGCAUCCAAGUACUGAUAAGGUACCUCCUCGGACAGUUCCUGAGUAGAAAGAAACCAAAAAUACAUUUAAUAUAUAAAUAGGUAAGCUAAUUAUUUCCUUGCAGGUCAGUUCCAAAUAAGUCCUGACAAUGUACCUCCUGGGGCAUUUUGUGAGAAGAAAAGAAAGCAAAAAUAUGGUUAACACAUAAAUAGGUAAUUGUGCUGUACACAACAGAAAUGAGAUCAAUAAUUAAAAUUUCGAUGCUAACCAAUGGAGGUAGACAGUUCUCCGCGUCAUGCCUGUUAAUAUAUAAACUACCAUGGUUGCUUAUGUCUGAAGCAGUAAGUGUUCUAUGAAAUGAAUGAACCAAGAGUUGAGGAUUUGGGCUAGUGACCUUUCUUUGCUGAUUCAUAGAGAGAAAAAAAAUCAACAAGGCAAGUGAAGGGGGAAAGAAGAGAAAGGGGGAAAAAUGAAAAAUGAAAAUGAAGUUGUAAAUUUGUUUGCAAAAAGAGGAUGGCUUACAUUUUUCACAUGAACCAAUGUUAUUUCUACAGAAAUUUGGUCUGUUUCAGGUUCAGCCAUAUGAUAAACAUUCAUCACUUCACAAAGAAUUUUGGACGGAAGUUCAAAUGGAAGCUCUAGCCCCCGAACCAUUGGACCUCCAAGCUUUUCUAUGUGACCUUCUGGAAAAUAAUAAAAUUGUUCCCCUCUACAAGGAAGGGUGCCACCAGCACAGAUAUCCAGUAUCUUCUUUUUUAGAGCAUCACCAUAGUUUGCAUGUGGGCGUGCUACAGUGGAAUAAUCCAUAGUCGAGAUGGCCAAAAUGUUAUGGAUAUCCUCCUGUGUGGAUUAAGCUCAAACCACCAUGUGGGUGUCCUUGUUGUUGAAACUUUGCAUGGUAAGAUCCAAGCGAAAAACAGAAGUAGAACUGAUAGAUUAUCGAUUCAAAUCAGGCCCAGAUCACUUCAGGUGAUAGUAAUGAAUUCUCUUUCCAAAAAAAACAGAAAAGAAGGUAGGGAUUUUCUUGCUUUAUUCACUUACCAUUCUCAUGCUGGAGUUGACCCACGAAGACCAGCAUGUCCCCCCUAUCAGAAAAUGGACCUGCCUUUUAAGAAAGUUUUCUUUUUUUUUGUUAUUUUUU